Long non-coding RNA from Ornithorhynchus anatinus (platypus), 1293 nucleotides. RefSeq lists it as uncharacterized. The record is from RefSeq and is a predicted model, not a curated record. Lineage: Eukaryota; Metazoa; Chordata; Mammalia; Monotremata; Ornithorhynchidae. The transcript is spliced from 3 exons.
UGUUGUUACGUUUAACGGAGUACAAAUGGUUUGUGAAGCUAAUAUGACUGUUAACUGAGGAAGGUGGAGUUGCUCUAAAAAUUCACCAGCAAAUUCUACCUAGCCCUUCAAGAAGCAAAUUCUUAACUGCCCAGUGAACUUACCUAUGUUUGUAUUUUUUUAGAAUUCAGCGCACAGAGAGUAUUUAAUAUAAUUUCAGAAAAUGGUGGAAGAAACUGAAAAAUUGAGAGCCACAUGGAGUUGCAGUCAGUUUCCUCACAAAGGUGGAGAUCAGAACCAAUAUGGAAAAGAUGAAUCAUCCAAUAGUGGCAAAGCCGUAAAUGGGCUCUGUCCAUGAAAACCAAAAACCGCUCUACGCACUUGCAAUGUGUGCGGCUCACCCAUCUUUUCGCUUGCUGCAGUCUGUGCUCAGAGAGAACACGACCAGCAGAGUCAAGAGCCUUUCCUUCCUUUCCCUCCCUCCAUCUCCCCUCUCCUUUGUGCACGUUCUCAGUUCUAAACGAUCAGGAUCGAAACUCGCCCGGCAUUCUCAAUGGGAGAUUCCAUCAACCACCACCACCAAAAGGGGACGGAGCACUAUGUUUGGAAGGGUACAAGUAAAGGACAUGGUCUUUGCCCUCAAGGAUCUGACAAUCUAACAGAAAAAAAUGGGCCACGGGAUUGGAGAGAUCACAUAGUCUAGAAUUGCUCAACUUGGUUUUUCAAGUUUUCUUGGGGUGGCUUGCCACAAAGGUUGCAGGUUGAAAAGUUUAUUAGUUGGGGCCUGAAUGUUUUCCCUGAACACUCCCUCCCAUUGGGAAACCCUAAACCUUCGGUAACGACCCUCCCCUCUCUCUUGCUACAUCCUCAGUUUGCCUAGUCCCACCUCCCACCAUAGUCCCACCUGUCUGCAGAUCUGGAGGCUCGAAACAGCUGUUUGUUCACGGCAGGGCUCUUAGAAACCUCCUUCUUCCACUUUGGUUCUGUAAAGCAAGAAGCUGAUUCAAUUUUUAUUGUAAGAACUGACAUUCUUUGGUUUAAGGAAGAAGCAAAUGAGAUUUUGAACCGAAUAAGCCUUUGUUUGUACGAUUGGUUUGUUGUCUUUGUAAUUUAACCUCCUGUAAUUAGUUUAAAGUGCCGUCAUGGUUUCUCAGUAAUUAUAAUUUAUUGGCCCAAGAAUUUUAGUGGAAUUUUGUAAUACUUUUGCUUGUAAAGUACAAGCUUUAUUUUAUGCUUUAUAUUCCUUCAUUGUUUAUUGGAGUGAAUAAUUAUAAAUACAUGAAUAAACAGGGGGUGACUCCAAAAUUACCGUCA